Molecule: ribosomal RNA, 373 nt
Filed under: uncultured bacterium
Lineage: Bacteria
Description: bacterial SSU rRNA
Rfam family: Bacterial small subunit ribosomal RNA
Source: RNAcentral
UAAUACGGAGGGUGCAAGCGUUAUCCGGAUUCACUGGGUUUAAAGGGUGCGUAGGUGGGUUGGUAAGUCAGUGGUGAAAUCUCCGAGCUUAACUUGGAAACUGCCAUUGAUACUAUCAGUCUUGAAUAUUGUGGAGGUCAGCGGAAUAUGUCAUGUAGCGGUGAAAUGCUUAGAUAUGACAUAGAACACCAAUUGCGAAGGCAGCUGGCUACACAUAUAUUGACACUGAGGCACGAAAGCGUGGGGAUCAAACAGGAUUAGAUACCCUGGUAGUCCACGCCCUAAACUAUGGAUACUCGACAUACGCGAUACACAGUGUGUGUCUGAGCGAAAGCAUUAAGUAUCCCACCUGGGAAGUACGAUCGCAAGAUUG